This 600-nucleotide ribosomal RNA is filed under the name Burkholderiaceae bacterium N67. Its description in RNAcentral is "bacterial SSU rRNA". It matches the Rfam family "Bacterial small subunit ribosomal RNA", at positions 32 to 627 of the family's 1533-position model. The record is from RNAcentral. Lineage: Bacteria; Pseudomonadati; Pseudomonadota; Betaproteobacteria; Burkholderiales; Burkholderiaceae.
AACGCUGGCGGCAUGCCUUACACAUGCAAGUCGAACGGCAGCACGGGAGCAAUCNUGGUGGCGAGUGGCGAACGGGUGAGUAAUACAUCGGAACGUGCCCUGUCGUGGGGGAUAACUAGUCGAAAGAUUAGCUAAUACCGCAUACGACCUGAGGGUGAAAGCGGGGGACCGUAAGGCCUCGCGCGAUAGGAGCGGCCGAUGUCUGAUUAGCUAGUUGGUGGGGUAAAGGCCCACCAAGGCGACGAUCAGUAGCUGGUCUGAGAGGACGAUCAGCCACACUGGGACUGAGACACGGCCCAGACUCCUACGGGAGGCAGCAGUGGGGAAUUUUGGACAAUGGGGGCAACCCUGAUCCAGCAAUGCCGCGUGUGUGAAGAAGGCCUUCGGGUUGUAAAGCACUUUUGUCCGGAAAGAAAUCCCCUGCUCUAAUACAGCGGGGGGAUGACGGUACCGGAAGAAUAAGCACCGGCUAACUACGUGCCAGCAGCCGCGGUAAUACGUAGGGUGCGAGCGUUAAUCGGAAUUACUGGGCGUAAAGCGUGCGCAGGCGGUUUUGUAAGACAGGCGUGAAAUCCCCGAGCUCAACUUGGGAAUGGCGCU